This 801-nucleotide ribosomal RNA is filed under the name uncultured bacterium. RNAcentral describes it as "bacterial SSU rRNA". It matches the Rfam family "Bacterial small subunit ribosomal RNA", at positions 8 to 796 of the family's 1533-position model. The record is from RNAcentral.
AGAGUUUGAUCAUGGCUCAGGACGAACGCUGGCGGCGCGCUUAACACAUGCAAGUCGAGCGAGAACCAAGGCUUCGGCCUUGGGGAAAGCGGCGAACGGGUGAGUAACACGUGGGUAAUCUGCCCUCGACAUCGGGAUAGCCCGGGGAAACCCGGAUUAAUACCGAAUGGCCCAUCAGCUUUUCGGAGCAGAUGGAAAAGGUAGCUUCGGCCUCCGGUCGAGGAGGAGCCCGCGGCGGAUUAGCUUGUUGGUGAGGUAACGGCUCACCAAGGCUCCGAUCCGUAGCUGGUCUGAGAGGACGAUCAGCCACACUGGGACUGAGACACGGCCCAGACUCCUACGGGAGGCAGCAGUGGGGAAUCUUGCGCAAUGGGCGAAAGCCUGACGCAGCGACGCCGCGUGAGGGAAGAAGGCCUUCGGGUUGUAAACCUCUUUCAGGAGGGACGAAGCCACUCGGGUUAAUAGCCCAGAGGGUGACGGUACCUCCAGAAGAAGCCCCGGCUAACUACGUGCCAGCAGCCGCGGUAAUACGUAGGGGGCUAGCGUUGUCCGGAUUUAUUGGGCGUAAAGAGCGUGUAGGCGGCCAGGUAGGUCUGCUGUGAAAACUCGAGGCUCAACCUCGAGACGUCGGCGGAAACCAUCUGGCUAGAGUCCGGAAGAGGAGAGUGGAAUUCCUGGUGUAGCGGUGAAAUGCGCAGAUAUCAGGAAGAACACCCGUGGCGAAGGCGGCUCUCUGGGACGGUACUGACGCUGAGACGCGAAAGCGUGGGGAGCGAACAGGAUUAGAUACCCUAGUAGUCC